GAUGAACGCUGACAGAAUGCUUAACACAUGCAAGUCCACUUGAACUUCGGUUUGGGUGGCGGACGGGUGAGUAACGCGUAAAGAACUUGCCUCACAGAUAGGGACAACAUUUGGAAACGAAUGCUAAUACCUGAUAUUAUGAUUUUAGGGCAUCCUAGGAUUAUGAAAGCUAUAUGCGCUGUGAGAGAGCUUUGCGUCCCAUUAGCUAGUUGGAGAGGUAACGGCUCACCAAGGCGAUGAUGGGUAGCCGGCCUGAGAGGGUGAUCGGCCACAAGGGGACUGAGACACGGCCCUUACUCCUACGGGAGGCAGCAGUGGGGAAUAUUGGACAAUGGACCAAGAGUCUGAUCCAGCAAUUCUGUGUGAACGAUGAAGUUUUUCGGAAUGUAAAGUGCUUUCAGUUGGGAAGAAAAAAAUGACGGUACCAACAGAAGAAGUGACGGCUAAAUACGUG
Molecule: ribosomal RNA, 454 nt
Filed under: uncultured bacterium
Lineage: Bacteria
Description: partial 16S ribosomal RNA
Rfam family: Bacterial small subunit ribosomal RNA
Source: RNAcentral